UGGGGAAUUUUGGACAAUGGGGGAAACCCUGAUCCAGCCAUGCCGCGUGAGUGAAGAAGGCCUUCGGGUUGUAAAGCUCUUUCAGCCGGAACGAAAAGGUUACGGUGAAUACCCGUGACUAAUGACGGUACGGGAAGAAGAAGCACCGGCUAACUACGUGCCAGCAGCCGCGGUAAUACGUAGGGUGCGAGCGUUAAUCGGAAUUACUGGGCGUAAAGCGUGCGCAGGCGGUUUUGUAAGUCAGAUGUGAAAUCCCCGGGCUCAACCUGGGAACUGCGUUUGAAACUACAAGGCUAGAGUGUGGCAGAGGGGGGUGGAAUUCCACGUGUAGCAGUGAAAUGCGUAGAGAUGUGGAGGAACACCGAUGGCGAAGGCAGCCCCCUGGGUUAACACUGACGCUCAGGCACGAAAGCGUGGGGAGCAAACAGG
This 429-nucleotide ribosomal RNA is filed under the name Bacillota bacterium. RNAcentral describes it as "Firmicutes bacterium partial 16S ribosomal RNA". It matches the Rfam family "Bacterial small subunit ribosomal RNA", at positions 355 to 776 of the family's 1533-position model. The record is from RNAcentral. Lineage: Bacteria; Bacillati; Bacillota.